UUCAUGUAAGGUACGUGGAAGGGCUUCACCCUGAGGGGGUUUAAUAUAAGCACCCUGCCCUGAUGCACUUGUUAGUGGCUGAUUAUCCACGUCAUGAACCUAUAAUCUAUAUGUCACAAGUUCGAGUCAAUUUUACCAGUGAUCCAAGCAGUCGUGUAGCCACAUUGGACACCCUUCGUCGGAAUAUUAUAUCGUAUAUACAAGUAAAAUGACACAACAAUAUGAUGUAGCCUAGUGGUUUCAGGCACCUUGAAAUAGUAAAGAUACAAAAAAUUAAAGUGUUUGUGUGUUUAGAUUUCACUACUAGCAAAAAAAAUUCACUUUUUAAGAAGAGCAGAUUCACUUUAGCAUUUCGACACCCUUCGUGAAAAUCCUGGAUCGAAGGCUCCACAUCCCUUUGUUCCUAGAAAGUAUUCACCUAUUAACUAACUUUUAUCUGACUUAAGACAAGAUAUAUGAUGAAAAAUCCUAGGAUUCUUGUCACUAUUGAGAUAGCAGCAGCAACAAGAAAAUUGAACCAUUAUAUUCAAUAUACUCUUGAAUUUCCUGAUUAUUGAAUGAAUCGCUGACGUGAUAUAUCGAAUAUAGAGAUAUGUAUGUACAAGAACAAUAGUUACCUGGUGUUGGAAUGUACUUGAUAGUAGGAAAAAUAUGCACGAGGCAGACGCGAAAUCCAGGGGAAACAGCAUGAUCAAGUGCCCAUUGAACAACAUACAAGUCAUUUUUUCCAACAACUACAUAAACAUCAUUAGUUUCUGCAUCUUUUAUUGUACUACUCUUGCUAUCUUCUCCAAUCUCUUCGAUUUCCCUAGACAUCUCUUUCGACAAAUCUUGAAUAUAGCCGAUAACAACGAUGCUAGUUGUGGUGCUCAAUUCUGGUCCCUCAUUUGAUGGUGGUUUCUAGCGAAGACACCAACAAUGUAAUUUUUUUGUCAAGUUGUGGAGUGUUUCUUGGAUAUGUCACAGUCUAUGUAACAACUGUUCCUUUGAUGUAAAAAGAAACUUUUUUUAAUGCUUAUAGAAAAGAAUGAUGGUGGUUGCUAACAAAGACACCAAUAAAAUGAAAAAAAAAAGGAGAGUUUUAUGUGAAUUUUUUUUUCAUGUCUAACAUCUGUAGCCUGUAGGGUUCUUGGACAUGCCAUAUUCUAAGUAAAAAUUGUUCCUUUUUUAUGUAAAAGAAACAUUUUUUUUUUCACAUGGGCAAGUUUUAUUGGACCAUAUCACAAUUUUAUGAUAGUGCAAGUCAAUUUCUAAUGCUUUGAUUUUUCUCUUUUUCCUUUACUUGUGAUCUGUUUUUUCCAGAAUUGUCUCUUUCCAUGCUUAAAGGAUCAAAAUGUUAUAGUCUAUGCAACAAAUCUAACUAUUAUUAUAACCAUACAACAUUAAAGUAUCCGAUUGAGUCAGACAUUUUAUUAAGGAGUGUUAAAAUGUAAGUAUGUAAACAUAUCCUAACAAAAAAGAUCAAAAUGUAUAGUCUAUGCAACACAUCUAACUAUUACUAUGACAAUAAAAGAUUAAAGUAUGUGAUAGAGUCAGAUAUUUUAUUAAGGAGUCUUAAAACGUAAGUAUGACAUACCUGAAGAAAAAAGAAAAAAGAAGAUCCGAUGAAGUCAGACAUUUUAUUAAGGAAUGUUAAAAUGUAAGUAUGUAAACAUACCCCAACAAAAAAGAACAAAAUGUAUAGUCUAUGCAACACAUCUAACCAUUACUAUAACAACAAAAGAUUAAAGUAUCAUACCCCAACAAAAAAGAUCAAAAUGUGUAGUCUAUGCGCGAAGACAAAAGAAAAAGAAGGGAGUCUGUCAGACAGCCAUGAGACCAUCUUAGUAUGCCCGAUGACAAAAGAAAAAGAAGGGAGUGUGUCAGACAGCCAUGAGACCAUCUUAGUAUGCCCGAAGAAAAAAGAAAAAAAAGGAAGUCUGUCAGACAGCCAUGAGACCAUCUUAGUAUGCCCGAAGAAAAAAGAAAAAGAAGAGAGUCUGUCAGACAGCCAUGAGACCAUCUUAGACCCGAGAUCUCCGGUCUAAGAACGAUCAUCUACUGCAUCCACAGCUCGAGGAGCUAUGGAAGGCUGUUAAUCACGCUCUAGUCACCAUUACUAUAACAACAAAAGAUUAAAGUAUCAUACCCCAACAAAAAAGAUCAAAAUGUGUAGUCUAUGCGCGAAGACAAAAGAAAAAGAAGGGAGUCUGUCAGACAGCCAUGAGACCAUCUUAGUAUGCCCGAAGAUAAAAGAAAAAGAAGGGAGUGUGUCAGACAGCCAUGAGACCAUCUUAGUAUGCCCGAAGAAAAAAGAAAAAGAAGAGAGUCUGUCAGACAGCCAUGAGACCAUCUUAGACCCGAGAUCUCAGGUCUAAGAACGAUCAUCUACUGCAUCCACAGCUCGAGGAGCUAUGGAAGGCUGUUAAUCACGCUCUAGUCACCAUUACUAUAACAACAAAAGAUUAAAGUAUCAUACCCCAACAAAAAAGAUCAAAAUGUGUAGUCUAUGCGCGAAGACAAAAGAAAAAGAAGGGAGUCUGUCAGACAGCCAUGAGACCAUCUUAGUAUGCCCGAAGAUAAAAGAAAAAGAAGGGAGUGUGUCAGACAGCCAUGAGACCAUCUUAGUAUGCCCGAAGAAAAAAAAAAAAGUCUGUCAGACAGCCAUGAGACCAUCUUAGACCCGAGAUCUCAGGUCUAAGAACGAUCAUCUACUGCAUCCACAGCUCGAGGAGCUAUGGAAGGCUGUUAAUCACGCUCUAGUCACCAUUACUAUAACAACAAAAGAUUAAAGUAUCAUACCCCAACAAAAAAGAUCAAAAUGUGUAGUCUAUGCGCGAAGACAAAAGAAAAAGAAGGGAGUGUGUCAGACAGCCAUGAGACCAUCUUAGUAUGCCCGAAGACAAAAGAAAAAGAAGGGAGUGUGUCAGACAGCCAUGAGACCAUCUUAGACCCGAGAUCUCCGGUCUAAGAACGAUCAUCUACUGCAUCCACAGCUCGAGGAGCUAUGGAAGGCUGUUAAUCACGCUCUAGUCACCAUUACUAUAACAACAAAAGAUUAAAGUAUCAUACCCCAACAAAAAAGAUCAAAAUGUGUAGUCUAUGCGCGAAGACAAAAGAAAAAGAAGGGAGUCUGUCAGACAGCCAUGAGACCAUCUUAGUAUGCCCGAAGACAAAAGAAAAAGAAGGGAGUGUGUCAGACAGCCAUAAGACCAUCUUAGUAUGCCCGAAGAAAAAAGAAAAAAAGGGAGUCUGUCAGACAGCCAUGAGACCAUCUUAGUAUGCCCGAAGACAAAAGAAAAAGAAGGGAGUCUAUGCGCGAAGACAAAAGAAAAAGAAGGGAGUGUGUCAGACAGCCAUGAGACCAUCUUAGUAUGCCCGAAGACAAAAGAAAAAGAAGGGAGUGUGUCAGACAGCCAUGAGACCAUCUUAGUAUGCCCGAAGAAAAAAAAAAAGUCUGUCAGACAGCCAUGAGACCAUCUUAGACCCGAGAUCUCAGGUCUAAGAACGAUCAUCUACUGCAUCCACAGCUCGAGGAGCUAUGGAAGGCUGUUAAUCACGCUCUAGUCACCAUUACUAUAACAACAAAAGAUUAAAGUAUCAUACCCCAACAAAAAAGAUCAAAAUGUGUAGUCUAUGCGCGAAGACAAAAGAAAAAGAAGGGAGUCUGUCAGACAGCCAUGAGACCAUCUUAGUAUGCCCGAAGACAAAAGAAAAAGAAGGGAGUGUGUCAGACAGCCAUAAGACCAUCUUAGUAUGCCCGAAGAAAAAAGAAAAAAAGGGAGUCUGUCAGACAGCCAUGAGACCAUCUUAGUAUGCCCGAAGACAAAAGAAAAAGAAGGGAGUCUAUGCGCGAAGACAAAAGAAAAAGAAGGGAGUGUGUCAGACAGCCAUGAGACCAUCUUAGUAUGCCCGAAGACAAAAGAAAAAGAAGGGAGUGUGUCAGACAGCCAUGAGACCAUCUUAGUAUGCCCGAAGAAAAAAAAAAAAAGUCUGUCAGACAGCCAUGAGACCAUCUUAGACCCGAGAUCUCAGGUCUAAGAACGAUCAUCUACUGCAUCCACAGCUCGAGGAGCUAUGGAAGGCUGUUAAUCACGCUCUAGUCACCAUUACUAUAACAACAAAAGAUUAAAGUAUCAUACCCCAACAAAAAAGAUCAAAAUGUGUAGUCUAUGCGCGAAGACAAAAGAAAAAGAAGGGAGUGUGUCAGACAGCCAUGAGACCAUCUUAGUAUGCCCGAAGACAAAAGAAAAAGAAGGGAGUGUGUCAGACAGCCAUGAGACCAUCUUAGACCCGAGAUCUCCGGUCUAAGAACGAUCAUCUACUGCAUCCACAGCUCGAGGAGCUAUGGAAGGCUGUUAAUCACGCUCUAGUCACCAUUACUAUAACAACAAAAGAUUAAAGUAUCAUACCCCAACAAAAAAGAUCAAAAUGUGUAGUCUAUGCGCGAAGACAAAAGAAAAAGAAGGGAGUCUGUCAGACAGCCAUGAGACCAUCUUAGUAUGCCCGAAGACAAAAGAAAAAGAAGGGAGUGUGUCAGUCAGCCAUAAGACCAUCUUAGUAUGCCCGAAGAAAAAAGAAAAAAAGGGAGUCUGUCAGACAGCCAUGAGACCAACUUAGACCCAAGAUCUCCAGGUCUAAGAACGAUCAUCUACGGCAUCCACAUCAAGGAGCUAUGGAAGGCUGUUAAUCACGCUCUAGUCACAUGGCCAUGCUUCAUCAACCAGACUUGGAUUCCUGUCUUCUUAGAAUUUAAGAAUACGGUGGUACGAGCCUAUAGAACAGAUCCUGUUCAAGUAAGGUCGU
RNAcentral lists this long non-coding RNA (4785 nucleotides) under Solanum lycopersicum (tomato). RNAcentral describes it as "long non-coding RNA (SLYC_LNC000340)". Lineage: Eukaryota; Viridiplantae; Streptophyta; Magnoliopsida; Solanales; Solanaceae. The record is from RNAcentral.